CAACAAUCAAGACACAUUUCAUUGGUUGUAAAGCAUUUUGAAACAACUAGUGAUCAUGAAAAGCAUGACGAAAAUGAUUCCUCCAAGUUACCUUUAUCAAUGAGUCAGACGAUCAACCCUGGUUCAAUAAAGCAUGCUGGGAGCAGCACCAGGUUUACCUGAAAGUGAGGUGUCAACCUGGUGAAUCUAUACCACAGUACUACAUGCUACUAAGCAACAUAAACAGCAAGUGAUAGAGACAAAUCUGGAGCAGCAACCAACAAGCAUUCACUUUCUGGAAAUAUCCUCCCCAGCAUUCAAGAUUCUGCUUAAAUUAUUCUGAUUCCAGAAAGAAGUUUUGAAUGAACAUCUUCCAUGAUACAAUA
Chiloscyllium plagiosum (whitespotted bambooshark) is the source of this 365-nucleotide non-coding RNA. The record is from RefSeq and is a predicted model, not a curated record. NCBI's taxonomy places the organism in Eukaryota, Metazoa, Chordata, Chondrichthyes, Orectolobiformes, Hemiscylliidae.